UGCAACCUGAGCUCAGUCGUGAUUACCCGUGA
RNAcentral lists this ribosomal RNA (32 nucleotides) under Heterorhabditis zealandica. RNAcentral's name for it is "partial 28S ribosomal RNA". Lineage: Eukaryota; Metazoa; Nematoda; Chromadorea; Rhabditida; Heterorhabditidae. The record is from RNAcentral.